UACGGAGGGUGCAAGCGUUGUUCGGAAUUAUUGGGCGUAAAGAGCGUGUAGGCGGUUUGGCAAGUCAGACGUGAAAGCCCUGGGCUCAACCCAGGAAGUGCAUUUGAUACUGCCUCACUAGAGUAUGGGAGAGGAGAGUGGAAUUCCCAGUGUAGAGGUGAAAUUCGUAGAUAUUGGGAGGAACACCCGUGGCGAAGGCGACUCUCUGGACCAAUACUGACGCUGAGACGCGAAAGCGUGGGGAGCAAACAGGAUUAGAUACCCCCGUA
Molecule: ribosomal RNA, 269 nt
Filed under: uncultured prokaryote
Description: partial 16S ribosomal RNA
Rfam family: Bacterial small subunit ribosomal RNA
Source: RNAcentral